AUAUCAAUAAGCGGAGGAAAAGAAACCAACAGGGAUUGCCCUAGUAACGGCGAGUGAAGCGGCAACAGCUCAAAUUUGAAAUCUGGCCCCCCGGGUCCGAGUUGUAAUUUGUAGAGGAUGCUUCGGCGUCGGACCCGGUCCAAGUUCCUUGGAACAGGACGUCACAGAGGGUGAGAAUCCCGUACGUGGCCGGUGUCCUUCGCCAUGUGAGGCUCCUUCAACGAGUCGAGUUGUUUGGGAAUGCAGCUCUAAGUGGGAGGUAAAUUUCUUCUAAAGCUAAAUACCGGCCAGAGACCGAUAGCGCACAAGUA
This 311-nucleotide ribosomal RNA is filed under the name uncultured Zymoseptoria. RNAcentral describes it as "partial large subunit ribosomal RNA". It matches the Rfam family "Eukaryotic large subunit ribosomal RNA", at positions 40 to 350 of the family's 3401-position model. Lineage: Eukaryota; Fungi; Ascomycota; Dothideomycetes; Mycosphaerellales; Mycosphaerellaceae. The record is from RNAcentral.